This 2303-nucleotide long non-coding RNA is filed under the name Citrus sinensis (sweet orange). Its description in RNAcentral is "long non-coding RNA (CSIN_LNC000614)". Lineage: Eukaryota; Viridiplantae; Streptophyta; Magnoliopsida; Sapindales; Rutaceae. The record is from RNAcentral.
CACAGAGGUUGAUAGUACAGUGACAAAAACUAAAGUAAUGCUAGGACUUAUCUCUUGCCAAGAAGGGAGUUGAGUUAUCUAAGAGUAAUGGAUAAGCAUUUCUCACGAAGGAGAAGCAUAAUUGUAGAGACAGUAACGAUGAGUACGUUUAGAAAACUAUUCCCAGAGACAGAUUUAUAUAUUUAGCUAACUACAUCCAAAAGUUACAUCUUUGCUUCUUCCAAGGUAAUAUGACAGGCAAAAGGGUGGAAACAAGUAUCAAACCUCAUUUGCAUCUUUGAAGUAACUGAACUCAUCUUUCUUUGGCCAACGUACACGCCAGCAUCUGAAAACCAAAGAAACAAAAUGUAAAGAGAGAAUUCCAACAUACAUAGGUCGGCAAACCACAAUCUUAAUGUCCAAGGACGUAAAGAACUCAGCGGGAUCCUGCAAUUGCCAAUGAUGCUGCCUAAAUUAAGGGUCUCAACAAGGUCAAGAUUUUAAGCCAUCAAAAUCUAGACAAUCCCACAUUAUUGUCAUUUGAAGCAAAAAGCCAAAAACUACCCCAUCUCUAAACCUGCGACUAGUAGGCCUCGUAAAUAAUUUUGCUCAUGUUCACUGAUUAACCAAUCUCAAGAAGAAUGCAAUUACUACAUUAUGACAAAGGAAUUAGUUAACAAAUUGAAACCUGUCUUUUCCAAGUCGACGUGCUAGCUCUUCAGCCAAGGCAUGGCCAGGUGUAUCUGCAUCAGUUCCCAGAAUAAUGCGAGAAACCUACAAGCUUUAUUUAUUUUAGUAGGCUUACUUUCUUUAUUUUUGUGAAGUAAAAUUUAUUAAAAAAAUAAAACAAAAGCAGAAACAUUAAUAUUAAUUUCAUACACCUUAUCCAAAUGCUCUUUGCAGUUCCAUAAAUACUGAUAACCAGUGUCCUGUUACCCACAACAGACACAAAAGAAAAAGUAAAUCAGUACCCGAAAAGCGAUGCCAAGUGACCAGAUUGAGAUGAGAUAAUAAUAAUUCACAUCUCUAAAAUAGGAAGCACAUAAUACUAUAAACAACGAACUGUUAUGCGACUUGCUGGCCAAAAAAGGGGGCUGGUGGGGAGGAAUUGAAAGUUCCAAUAUAAACCUUUUCCCGUGGUGGUAAUUCUCUGUUAGAAACUUUUGGUGGUGCUCCAGAAGGAACACUUACGCAAUUCUGAAAGCCCGCUUCCUCCACUGAAAGCUUGUCUAUUUCACCUUCAACCUAUAAUCAGGAACAAAAUAGUAUAAAUCAGUAGAAAGAUUUUUAAAAAAUUGGGCAAAAGCACCCAAAAUAUGAUCACAGUAUGUACAAUGAUGACUUCAGCAGUUUCAUUUAUGUCAUCAAGUCCAUAUAACCACUUUUCUGUGCCCUUCUCCUGAAAUAGAAGCAUAAAUCCAACAAGAAUUCAGAUUACAGCACAUCCACACUCCAUUUUACAAUGGGAAAAUAGGCACAACAGAAAUAAAAUGGCAUUUUAAUCUACUUUCAAGAAAUUCGUCAGUACUCAUUAGCAUACAGUGAUACAAGAGAUAUAAUCUUCUAAAGCAAAUAACAUCGGUCAAUUUAUUUUUUCUUGCACCAAAUAGUUGACUAGAUUCUAUAAAAUAAUAACAUAUAGUGUCCAAAUGGAUGCAUCUAUCUCUAGCACAAUUCCUGGUGCAUAUACCAUUCCAUUGCAUUGACAUGUAAAAUUUUAAAAUCCUACAUCCAAAAGUUACAUCUUUGCUUCUUCCAAGGUAAUAUGACAGGCAAAAGGGUGGAAACAAGUAUCAAACCUCAUUUGCAUCUUUGAAGUAACUGAACUCAUCUUUCUUUGGCCAACGUACACGCCAGCAUCUGAAAACCAAAGAAACAAAAUGUAAAGAGAGAAUUCCAACAUACAUAGGUCGGCAAACCACAAUCUUAAUGUCCAAGGACGUAAAGAACUCAGCGGGAUCCUGCAAUUGCCAAUGAUGCUGCCUAAAUUAAGGGUCUCAACAAGGUCAAGAUUUUAAGCCAUCAAAAUCUAGACAAUCCCACAUUAUUGUCAUUUGAAGCAAAAAGCCAAAAACUACCCCAUCUCUAAACCUGCGACUAGUAGGCCUCGUAAAUAAUUUUGCUCAUGUUCACUGAUUAACCAAUCUCAAGAAGAAUGCAAUUACUACAUUAUGACAAAGGAAUUAGUUAACAAAUUGAAACCUGUCUUUUCCAAGUCGACGUGCUAGCUCUUCAGCCAAGGCAUGGCCAGGUGUAUCUGCAUCAGUUCCCAGAAUAAUGCGAGAAACCUACAAGCUUUAUUUAUUUUAGUAGGCUUACUUUCU